CAUCACCAGCACUAUCAGUGUCUCGUAGGUUUUUGUUGAUUUUGAUCUCUUUUCCAUGGAUUUUCUUUCAGGUGUCUGGGGAGUACUCGAUGAUCAAAGCAGGGGGAGUUCUGAAGAUGAUCGAUGAAGAGAAAGUGAUGAUGGAGUCACUAAUGUGCUUACGCAGAGCUGGUGCUGACAUCAUCCUUACCUACUUUGCUCUUCAAGCUGCUACUUACUUAUGCAACCAGAAGCGGUAGAAGAAGAGACAGAGAGAGUUUGAUGGUUUUGCAUUUUGGUAUUUAACCAUUUGAGCAAUCAUUAUUUUUUGUGUUGUACUACUUUUUCCUUGCAAAUCUCAUGUUCUGAUUCGACUUUGUUUGGUCAUGUUUCUUUGUCUCGUGCAUUAUGUACUGUUAUAUAAGUCUUAGUCUUAUUUUGUAUCACCAAUCUGUUCCUCAUUGAUUUCUAUUUAGGAGGGCAUUGUUCUGAGUUUUUGAAACUUGGCUCUUACAUUAUUUUUGCUUGCUGAAUGCAACCUUGUAGUACUUGGGUUAUUGUGCAUUUUUGUUUAGCAAUGUACAUGGAUCAGAAAUGUGUUUUAUUUAAUUUUUAUUGGAGCUAUGCGUGGUUGCUACAGGCUUGGUUGGAGGCAUGGCCUUUUACAAGAGGUUUGGCUCUGUGUUUUGAUUUGUUUCCUUUGAGAGCAAAUCAUGUUAGGAACAUGAGUUUUUCCAUUUUAUAUGCAAACAGGUUGCAAAGGCUAGAGCUGUUGGUGUUAACAGUAUAGUGUUGUUCCCUAAAGUUCCCGAGGCUUUGAAGGUUUCAACCCUUGUCUUCUAUUUGCAUACAAAUGUUGUUGAGCUGUACACUGAAACUCUUUUUGUCUUUGUUUUCAUUUUUGGUAGAAUCCGACAGGGGACGAGGCAUACAACGAUAAUGGUCUUGUGCCUAGAACAAUCCGUCUUCUCAAAGACAAGUAUCCUGAUCUUGUAAGAUGUGUAAAUCUUAGUUUGUUAAAUAUAACUGGAGAUGAUAAUCUUGGUAAUGAAUGUUCUUCUUUUCUUCUCUUAGAUUAUAUACACUGAUGUUGCUUUGGAUCCCUACUCAUCUGAUGGUCACGAUGGUAUAGUCAGAGAGGAUGGUAAGUAUUCUUUACCUAACCUCCUUCCUUCUGUUAUGUUUUAAAUGGAGCUGUGAUACAUAACUCAUCUCUGUAGGCGUAAUAAUGAAUGAUGAAACUGUGCACCAGCUAUGUAAGCAAGCUGUUUCUCAGGUAAAUGUCAAAGAGUGAAAACUGUUUAAUGUAUGAGAUAUAAUCUUUUUCUUUCUUUCUUUCUUUGCAGGCCCGAGCUGGAGCGGAUGUUGUUAGUCCGAGUGACAUGAUGGAUGGUCGAGUAGGCGCAAUUCGUGCAGCUCUCGAUGCUGAAGGCUUUCAAAAUGUCUCAAUCAUGUCUUACACCGCAAAGUAAUCAUAUAACUUCUGAGACCUCAACAGCUUUUUUUAAGAGCAUUUACUUGUUUGUUCUGUCUAACUCCGUGUAUGAACCAACAGGUAUGCAAGUUCGUUCUACGGCCCGUUCCGUGAAGCACUGGACUCAAAUCCACGUUUUGGGGACAAGAAAACGUAAGUAGCAAACAAUCUAUUGUUAAGUUUGUGUUUGUUUGGCUAAGCCUUUGGUACCUUGAACAAAAGUUAUCAGAUGAACCCAGCAAAUUAUAGAGAGGCUUUGAUUGAGGCACGUGAAGACGAGGCUGAAGGAGCCGACAUUCUCCUGGUAUGAGAUCACACCCUUGAGGUCAAAACAUGUCUAGAGUUUGGUAACAAUUAGGAGUGUUUGGUUACAGGUAAAGCCAGGUCUCCCUUAUUUGGACAUCAUACGGCUCCUUAGGGACAAGUCUCCCUUGCCCAUUGCUGCAUACCAAGUACUCAGCUUCCUCAUCAUCACCAGCACUAUCAGUGUCUCGUAGGUUUUUGUUGAUUUUGAUCUCUUUUCCAUGGAUUUUCUUUCAGGUGUCUGGGGAGUACUCGAUGAUCAAAGCAGGGGGAGUUCUGAAGAUGAUCGAUGAAGAGAAAGUGAUGAUGGAGUCACUAAUGUGCUUACGCAGAGCUGGUGCUGACAUCAUCCUUACCUACUUUGCUCUUCAAGCUGCUACUUACUUAUGCAACCAGAAGCGGUAGAAGAAGAGACAGAGAGAGUUUGAUGGUUUUGCAUUUUGGUAUUUAACCAUUUGAGCAAUCAUUAUUUUUUGUGUUGUACUACUUUUUCCUUGCAAAUCUCAUGUUCUGAUUCGACUUUGUUUGGUCAUGUUUCUUUGUCUCGUGCAUUAUGUACUGUUAUAUAAGUCUUAGUCUUAUUUUGUAUCACCAAUCUGUUCCUCAUUGAUUUCUAUUUAGGAGGGCAUUGUUCUGAGUUUUUGAAACUUGGCUCUUACAUUAUUUUUGCUUGCUGAAUGCAACCUUGUAGUACUU
Molecule: long non-coding RNA, 2452 nt
Filed under: Brassica napus (rape)
Lineage: Eukaryota; Viridiplantae; Streptophyta; Magnoliopsida; Brassicales; Brassicaceae
Description: long non-coding RNA (BNAP_LNC006351)
Source: RNAcentral